ACAAACUUGGUCAUUUAGAGGAAGUAAAAGUCGUAACAAGGUUUCCGUAGGUGAACCUGCGGAAGGAUCAUUGCAAAUCGAGGGAGGUGGAGGAUGAGGAUUCCGAGAGGAGUCUGAAAUCCUGAUACCAUCUCACAUAUGCACAGCGGUCGGUCUCUGAUCUGCCGCUGAUGUUUACGCUUGUUUGUUUGACAAAUCUGUGCAUCAUAAAUAUUCAAAACUUUUAACAACGGAUCUCUUGGCUCUUGCAUCGAUGAAGAACGCAGC
Molecule: unclassified non-coding RNA, 267 nt
Filed under: uncultured fungus
Lineage: Eukaryota; Fungi
Description: partial contains small subunit ribosomal RNA, internal transcribed spacer 1, and 5.8S ribosomal RNA
Rfam family: Eukaryotic small subunit ribosomal RNA (bases 1-73)
Source: RNAcentral